GAUGAACGCUAGCGGCAGGCCUAAUACAUGCAAGACGAACGGUAAGUUGAGUAGCAAUACUUAGCCAAGAGUGUCGUACGGGUGCGUAACACGUAUGCAACCUACCCUAUACAGGAGGAUAGCCUAGGGAAACCUGGAUUAACCCUUCAUAGUAUUAUUGGAUGGCAUCAUUUGAUAAUUAAAACUGAGGUGGUAUAGGAUGGGCAUGCGUCUGAUUAGUUAGUUGGCGGGGUAAUGGCCCACCAAGACGAUGAUCAGUAGGGGUUCUGAGAGGAAGAUCCCCCACACUGGCACUGAGAUACGGGCCAGACUCCUACGGGAGGCAGCAGUAGGGAAUAUUGGUCAAUGGAUGCAAGUCUGAACCAGCCAUGCCGCGUGCAGGAAGAAGGCCUUCUGGGUUGUAAACUGCUUUUGCCAGGGGGAUAAAAUUUCCAUGCGUGGAAAACUGAAGGUACCUGGUGAAUAAGCCACGGCUAACUACGUGCCAGCAGCCGCGGU
RNAcentral lists this ribosomal RNA (498 nucleotides) under uncultured bacterium. RNAcentral's name for it is "bacterial SSU rRNA". It matches the Rfam family "Bacterial small subunit ribosomal RNA", at positions 28 to 521 of the family's 1533-position model. The record is from RNAcentral.